RNAcentral lists this long non-coding RNA (709 nucleotides) under Capra hircus (goat). RNAcentral describes it as "lncRNA (ENSCHIG00000000903.1)". Lineage: Eukaryota; Metazoa; Chordata; Mammalia; Artiodactyla; Bovidae. The record is from RNAcentral.
CCCUCCCCCAGUGGACCAUGUCUUAACAGAACUCUACACUAUGACCCGUCCAUCUUGGGUGGCCCUGCAUGGCAAGUCUCUUAACUUUGUUGAAGUUAUACAAGCCCCUUUGCCAUGAGAAGGCUAUGAUCCAGGAAGGGGACUGUUAAACGUGGUGGGAUCCCAUUCCACACCACACUUUGGGAAAUUUUUUUGGUCAUUAUGAUAUAACUUGCCUUCUAGAAUCCUUGCCUUAUACUACAAAAUUCUUAUGGUGUGGUUUUUGUUCUCAUGGACUCAAGAUGGUGCCUCUAUGUCCUCUAGACACUACACAAUCAUUCCAGGCAAGAGGAAGAGAUAAGGACAACACUAGCUAAGAUCCAGUGUCUGCCAGGCAAAGUUGCUAGAGGUGCAUUCCUGGAAGCUCCCACCCCCAGGUGAUGUCAGACCUCACGUGACCCAACUACCACGCAAUGGGAUGCAUGACGUCAUUUCAGGAUGUGAGUCCUAAUGCAGAGCUUGCUGCUGCUGCCACUGCUAUGAAUAACAAGCCAUCACCGUAGGCAGAGUCAACUUUGCACAGGUCAGCGGUCAAGGCUGAGUAGACAAUAGACUCAUCUGAAGGUCACAUUGCCCCCACCCUAAUGAAGGGACCUUGGUGGCAGGUUACACAACAUAUUCAACAUUCAUGAAACAUUCUGCAAUUGCAGAUCUGAAAUGAAAGCAAGGU